RNAcentral lists this ribosomal RNA (468 nucleotides) under uncultured bacterium. RNAcentral describes it as "partial 16S ribosomal RNA". It matches the Rfam family "Bacterial small subunit ribosomal RNA", at positions 28 to 507 of the family's 1533-position model. The record is from RNAcentral.
GACGAACGCUGGCGGCGUGCUUAACACAUGCAAGUCGAACGGAAAGGCCCUGCUUUUGUGGGGUGCUCGAGUGGCGAACGGGUGAGUAACACGUGAGUAACCUGCCCUUGACUUUGGGAUAACUUCAGGAAACUGGGGCUAAUACCGGAUAGGAGCUCCUGCUGCAUGGUGGGGGUUGGAACGUUUCGGCGGUUGGGGAUGGACUCGCGGCUUAUCAGCUUGUUGGUGGGGUAGUGGCUUACCAAGGCUUUGACAGGUAGCCGGCCUGAGAGGGUGACCGGCCACAUUGGGACUGAGAUACGGCCCAGACUCCUACGGGAGGCAGCAGUGGGGAAUAUUGCACAAUGGGCGGAAGCCUGAUGCAGCAACGCCGCGGGCGGGAUGACGGCCUUCGGGUUGUAAACCGCUUUCGCCUGUGACGAAGCGUGAGUGACGGUAAUGGGUAAAGAAGCACCGGCUAACUACGUG